GCACAAGCGGUGGAUGAUGUGGUUUAAUUCGAUGCAACGCGAAAACCUUACCACCUUUGACAUGUACGGAAUCCUUUAGAGAUAGAGGAGUGCUCGAAAGAGAGCCGUAACACAGGUGCUGCAUGGCUGUCGUCAGCUCGUGUCGUGAGAUGUUGGGUUAAGUCCCGCAACGAGCGCAACCCUUGUCAUUAGUUGCUACAUUCAGUUGGGCACUCUAAUGAGACUGCCGGUGACAAACCGGAGGAAGGUGGGGAUGACGUCAAGUCCUCAUGGCCCUUAUAGGUGGGGCUACACACGUCAUACAAUGGAUGGUACAAAGGGUCGCCAACCCGCGAGGGGGAGCCAAUCCCAUAAAGCCAUUCGGAGUCCGGAUCGCAGUCUGCAACUCGACUGCGUGAAGUUGGAAUCGCUAGUAAUCGUGGAUCAGAAUGUCACGGUGAAUACGUUCCCGGGUCUU
Molecule: ribosomal RNA, 457 nt
Filed under: uncultured Acidovorax sp.
Lineage: Bacteria; Pseudomonadati; Pseudomonadota; Betaproteobacteria; Burkholderiales; Comamonadaceae
Description: bacterial SSU rRNA
Rfam family: Bacterial small subunit ribosomal RNA
Source: RNAcentral